AGAGUUUGAUCAUGGCUCAGAUUGAACGCUGGCGGCAGGCCUAACACAUGCAAGUCGAGCGGUAACACAGAGGAGCUUGCUCCUUGGGUGACGAGCGGCGGACGGGUGAGUAAUGCCUGGGGAUCUGCCCGAUAGAGGGGGAUAACUACGGGAAACUGUAGCUAAUACCGCAUAAUGUCUACGGACCAAAGUGGGGGCUCUUCGGACCUCAUGCUAUCGGAUGAACCCAGGUGGGAUUAGCUAGUUGGUGAGGUAAUGGCUCACCAAGGCGACGAUCUCUAACUGGUUUGAGAGAAUGACCAGUCACACUGGAACUGAGACACGGUCCAGACUCCUACGGGAGGCAGCAGUGGGGAAUAUUGCACAAUGGGCGCAAGCCUGAUGCAGCCAUGCCGCGUGUGUGAAGAAGGCCUUCGGGUUGUAAAGCACUUUCAGCGGGGAGGAAGGGUCACUAGUUAAUACCUAGUGGCAUUGACGUUACUCGCAGAAGAAGCACCGGCUAACUCCGUGCCAGCAGCCGCGGUAAUACGGAGGGUGCAAGCGUUAAUCGGAAUUACUGGGCGUAAAGCGCACGCAGGCGGUUUGUUAAGUCAGAUGUGAAAUCCCCGAGCUCAACUUGGGAACUGCAUUUGAAACUGGCAAGCUAGAGUCUUGUAGAGGGGGGUAGAAUUCCAGGUGUAGCGGUGAAAUGCGUAGAGAUCUGGAGGAAUACCGGUGGCGAAGGCGGCCCCCUGGACAAAGACUGACGCUCAGGUGCGAAAGCGUGGGGAGCAAACAGGAUUAGAUACCCCGGUAGUCCAA
Molecule: ribosomal RNA, 801 nt
Filed under: uncultured bacterium
Lineage: Bacteria
Description: bacterial SSU rRNA
Rfam family: Bacterial small subunit ribosomal RNA
Source: RNAcentral